Molecule: transfer RNA, 74 nt
Filed under: Anaerolineae bacterium
Lineage: Bacteria; Bacillati; Chloroflexota; Anaerolineae
Description: tRNA-Pro
Rfam family: tRNA
About the family: Transfer RNA (tRNA) molecules are approximately 80 nucleotides in length. Their secondary structure includes four short double-helical elements and three loops (D, anti-codon, and T loops).
Source: RNAcentral
CGGGGUGUGGCGCAGCAUGGUAGCGCGCUUGCAUGGGGUGCAAGAGGCCCCCGGUUCAAGUCCGGGCACCCCGA